GGACAUAGCUCAAAAGGUAGAGCAUCGGCUUCCCAAGCCGAGGGUCGCGGGUUCGAGUCCCGUUGUCCGCU
Molecule: transfer RNA, 71 nt
Filed under: Acetomicrobium sp.
Lineage: Bacteria; Thermotogati; Synergistota; Synergistia; Synergistales; Acetomicrobiaceae
Also listed under: 1 other name
Description: tRNA-Gly
Rfam family: tRNA
About the family: Transfer RNA (tRNA) molecules are approximately 80 nucleotides in length. Their secondary structure includes four short double-helical elements and three loops (D, anti-codon, and T loops). Further hydrogen bonds mediate the characteristic L-shaped molecular structure. tRNAs have two regions of fundamental functional importance: the anti-codon, which is responsible for specific mRNA codon recognition, and the 3' end, to which the tRNAs corresponding amino acid is attached (by aminoacyl-tRNA synthetases). tRNAs cope with the degeneracy of the genetic code in two manners: having more than one tRNA (with a specific anti-codon) for a particular amino acid; and 'wobble' base-pairing, i.e. permitting non-standard base-pairing at the 3rd anti-codon position.
Source: RNAcentral